UGAAAAGAAACAGAGAGCACCAGGGGGAGAGAGAGAGAGAGGAAACGGAGUAGAAGGGAAGAGGUGAGAACUUGAUCGAGAGUUUGGGCUGGAUUACGGUAGAGGAGGAAGGAACGAAAUCGAGAGGACGAUAGGGGAGUGAGAGUUUCGGGGUGACAGCAACAAAGAACCGCAGGGAUGACGAGCUAUGCCAAGAGUAUAGUGGCUGGGAAAUUCGAAGUUAUUCCAAGGGUAGAGUUUAGAUUGCAAUUGGUUAAUUAAUGGGCGUGUUAGGAGCCGAUGAGACCGAGACUAUACACCCGAAAGGCUCGACUCGUUGAGUUAUCAUUUUGGGGGUCUUUAUGAGCAAGGAGCUAGAUUUGCAGCACAGGAAAAUCUUAUUGGACAUCGGGGGAUUAGCGUGAAAGAUUUUUGCAGUUAGAUCCACUUAUAGUAUAAGUAGUAAGUUAUUGUAGAAUGUUGUAAUUAUGUCAUGACUUGAAACCUUUGUUUAGUUGGUUUAGUACUAUGGUUGAGAAAAAGUACUCUCUUGAGAGAUAUAUAUAUAUUAGAGUCUGCUAGAUUGGUUAUAUAUUUUUUUGGGAGUCAUGGAAAGCAUGUUUUAUAUGAAUAGUUCAUGUGAUAAUGGAU
Molecule: non-coding RNA, 630 nt
Organism: Punica granatum (pomegranate)
Lineage: Eukaryota; Viridiplantae; Streptophyta; Magnoliopsida; Myrtales; Lythraceae
Source: RefSeq, a predicted model, not a curated record